GAAAUGCGAUAAUUAAUGUGAAUUGCAGAAUUCAGUGAGUCAUCGAGUCUUUGAACGCACAUUGCGCCCCCUGGUAUUCCGGGGGCAUGCCUGUCCGAGCGUCAUUGCUGCCCUCAAGCACGGCUUGUGUGUUGGGCUUCCGUCCCUGGCAACGGGGACGGGCCCAAAAGGCAGUGGCGGCACCAUGUCUGGUCCUCGAGCGUAUGGGGCUUUGUCACCCGCUCCCGUAGGUCCAGCUGGCAGCUAGCCUCGCAACCAAUCUUUUUAACCAGGUUGACCUCGGAUCAGGUAGGGAUACCCGCUGAACUUAAGC
This 313-nucleotide unclassified non-coding RNA is filed under the name plant metagenome. Its description in RNAcentral is "partial contains 5.8S ribosomal RNA, internal transcribed spacer 2, and large subunit ribosomal RNA". The stretch from base 1 to 104 matches the Rfam family "5.8S ribosomal RNA", at positions 50 to 154 of the family's 154-position model. The record is from RNAcentral.